RNAcentral lists this unclassified non-coding RNA (265 nucleotides) under rhizosphere metagenome. RNAcentral describes it as "partial ribosomal RNA internal transcribed spacer region". The record is from RNAcentral.
AAAAAGUCAAUGAGUGCACUUUAUUGUGGCUCAAACCUUUUAAUAUCUUUAACCCAUUAUAAACCCAAAACUGUCUUGUGUACUUUUACGAGUAUAGCAUUUCAGUAGUACGCAUCAUGAGCUUUAUUGUUCAAGUUGCAUUACCCCCCCUUAUAAGUGACCCCUUUAUUUUUUGAAAUCAUUAAACGUUUUAUGUAAAGUUUUAAGAAUGUAAACCAUGUGGAAUUAAGUAUAUAUAACUUUUAACAAUGGAACUCUUGGCUCU